GGAAUCUGGACAUCCGAAGCCAAGACCAUAGACAGGGUCGAAUGCCCAGGAUCUCUUAUUUUGGGAGCUCCAAUAUCUCUGGCUGACCAGUGCACUCCAUAAAACUGUCCUGAGAGCCAGCUGGAAAAAGAACCGAGAAAUGAAGUCUGUCUGCCCCCUUCUCUAUCCUUCAUUCUGAAGAUGAGGAAACCAAGGGAAUUGUUGAAAGUCACACGGGCAGCCAGAGGCAGAGCCAGGAUUAGAAUCCCUUGUUCUCACCUCAUUCAAUUCAUACAAGAACUAAUAUCAAUUAGGUGAUGCACAGAACGCACUUUGCAUAGUUUCCGGCAGAGGAAAACACUCAAUAAAUACUGGUUGUUUUUUGUUGUA
Long non-coding RNA from Orcinus orca (killer whale), 369 nucleotides. RefSeq lists it as uncharacterized. The record is from RefSeq and is a predicted model, not a curated record. NCBI's taxonomy places the organism in Eukaryota, Metazoa, Chordata, Mammalia, Artiodactyla, Delphinidae. The transcript has 2 exons.